GGUGUGAGCCACUGCACCUGGCUAUCUCCACUUCGGACAGGAGAAAACUGAGGCCCAGGGAGGGAAAGUCACUUCUCCAAGGCCACAAAGCUGCAGCCGCCGACGACGCCGCUGGGAAGGGUCCGGAAUCAGGAUCAGGAACCACCGGGUAGCUGCAAAGGUCAAAGGAUGGAGUGCAGUGGCCCGAUCUCGCUUCACUGCAACCUCC
RNAcentral lists this long non-coding RNA (208 nucleotides) under Homo sapiens (human). RNAcentral's name for it is "HSALNT0396424". The record is from RNAcentral. Lineage: Eukaryota; Metazoa; Chordata; Mammalia; Primates; Hominidae.